GUCAUCCGGAAGUGACCGUAGGCGGAAUGGUUGCCAUGGCAGCGGCCGGGGCGCUUGGCUGGGCGCAGGGAAGAUGGCGGUAACCGGUUGGUUGGAGAGUCUCCGGACCGCCGAGAAGACGGCGCUGCUGCAGGACGGGAGAAGGAAGGUGCACUAUUUGUUCCCAGAUGGAAAGGAAAUGGCCGAAGAAUACGAUGAGAAGUCAGGCGAACUACUUGUGAGAAAGUGGCGUGUGAAAAGUGCCCUGGGAGCCCUGGGCCAGUGGCAGAUUGAGGUGGGAGAGCCAGCACUCCCAGGAGCAGGGAGCCUGGGGCCUGAAUUCAUCAAGGAAAACAAUGCCAAUCCCAUCUUCAUGCGCAAGGACACCAAGAUGAAUUUCCAGUGGCGGAUUCGAAACCUCCCCUACCCUAAGGAUGUCUACAGUGUCUGUGUGAACCACAAAGAGCGCUGCAUCGUUGUCAGAACCACCAACAAAAAGUACUACAAGAAGUUCUCCAUUCCUGACCUAGAUAGACACCAGCUACCUCUGGAUGAGUCCUCGCUGAGCUUUGCUCAUGCCAACUGCACGCUGAUCAUCUCUUACCAGAAGCCAAAGGAGAUCCUGGUGGCUGAGGCAGAGCUUCAGAAGGAGCUAAAGAAAGUGAAGACAGCCCACAGCAGUGAUGGGGACUGGACCUCCAACAUUAAAAGCCUUUCGCAUAAAGGGAGGCAUGAGUCUUAGGUGGAGCAGAGGUGGGGGAAGCUCAGAGUUGACGCAAACAGGUUGGGGAAGAUGCCCGCUCGGCGCUGCUGGGCUCAGAGGAAGACUGGGCUGGAAGAGACCCUGUGCCACCUUAGCUUGCAGAAGUGGCCCAGAUGAAUUCCCUAAGAUGUGGAAACCGAGGCCCAGAGUGCCCCCCACCCAUAUCACAGAGCUAAGAAGCGGCAGAGUUAGUUCGAGAACCCAAGUCUGUCUGACCACACAGCCUGUGUGCCCUCCGUAGCUCCUCACAGCCUCCCAUCACACACCAGAGGAGGGGUUCCUUGGCCUCAGCCCCACGCAGAAGCAAGAAGUUUGCCGGUGGCAGGAGUUUGGCAGGGGAGUCACGGGAACGACAUUCACAGACUGCAGGCGCUCCAACGUCCCAGAGGCCACAGGACAAAGGAUCCCUUGGAAGUUUUAGCUGAGCUGUGCCGACAACAGUAGGAUGUGACCAUCAGCUACACUAACAAAAGCAAAAGAUCUAGAAUAAGGAGGGGAUAGCGCCUGCCACUCAUCAUCUCACACCCGGCACGUUCAGUACUCGGUUGCGAACAUCCCAUUUCAAGAGGGAUCCAACCAGAUAAAUGCAAGAAACUUUCAGGUGAGAAUGGUCCUAAAACGAAUGUGAGACCCACACAGUAGGGUCACCCUCCCAGCUAUUCCUCACUUACUUUCUUGCUGACCCAAAUCUGAUUCUGUGCCCACCGCUCCCAUCCUCCUUGCCACUAUGCACGUGGGGGAAGCUGGGCUCUUCCCCAGACCCAGGUCAAUCUUGACUGGUGAUUCCAUUUCCCUUGCCACGGUUUGAUUCAGGGUGAGUAACGGAAUACACUUUUGGCUCACUCAAUAUGAGGAGUCUGCUUGGGGGCUCCUAUAAAAGGACUCCCCAUCUUAAAAAGAGACCCAGGUAGGGACAAGUCCUCUUCCUUCCUUUCUCCCUCUGGGUAUUUUGCCUCAUGAGCAGGUAGAGCUUUUGUGAACAAGCCUGAGGAUAAGGGCAAAACCCACGUUGACAGAGGGGGCAAAGCGGAAAGCUGAGAAGAUGGGCCCUCAGCCUCUCACUGAGCUACUGCACCCGUCAAUCCUGGAACCAGCGAAGCUUCCAGCUCCUGGGGACUCCUUGUCACUUACGAUAAUAAUAAUCUCUUUAUUGUUGGAGCCACUUUGAAGUAGGCCCUCAAUACUUCCAGCCAAAAGCACCCUAACUGAUGUACUGUGUGUAUAAGCAACAGCAGAAGGGCCUCAGACUUUCAGCCUGAUAAAGAGAAGACACUGGAGAAACAGGACCAAAGAUUUCAGAUAUUUAAAGCCCUGUCUUCAGAGGCAAGGUUCAACUUGCUUCUUGCCUAGAAUCAUAGCCCCUGGAAGCAGGUCAACUCUCGAUGAAGGACAGGUGUGAUAACUCUCAGGGCUCUCCAAAGAUGUAAUGUGGUGUCUGGGAGAGUUGCGAGUUUCCUAUCCCUGUGGUUGGAUGACCGUUAAGAGAAUGUUGUAGAAAAAACCAUAUUUAACUAAAACAGCUCACGUGUUAAAAAAGAAAAACUCUUUUGGAAGACUGACAAUACAAUGGAUUUUUCAGGGGGCAAAAAGAUGGGUACCACUUUCCCGGGGAUACAGAGAGGAAAGGAGACAAGCUAGAGUCACUGAGGCAGGAGACAGACAAGAACAGAACAUCCUCGCUGCUGCUGUAGAUCGCGGUGCUGAACCAGAGCACGGGACCUGGGGCCAGGUGCAGACGGUCUUAGACUUGACCCCACAAGCACAAUUGACAAAAAAAAAAAAUAAUUUGGACGCCAUCAAAAUGUAAAACUUUGGUCUUUUAUCCUGUUAAGAGGAUAAAAAGACAAGCUCCAGACUUAAAGAUAGAGGCAAACCACAUAUCUGAAAAAGGAUUCAUUUCUAGAAUAUAUAAAGAACUCCCCAAACUCACCAGUGAAAAAGCAAACCGUUCAAUUAGAAAAUCGCCAAAAGACACGAGCAGAGAUUCCACCAAAGAGAACAUACAGAAGGCAAAUACACACACGAAAAGAUGUCAUUGGCUAUUAAGGAAAUUCAAAUUAAAGCCACGAGAUACCACACCUCUUAGAAUAGCUAAGACAAGAAAGAGCAGCAAUUCCAAAUGCUGUCAAGGAUGGGAAGAAACUACAUCUCUCAUACCCUGGAGUUGGAUUAUAAAAUGGUAAAUAUAUUCACAAUAGUUUGACAGGUAAAAAAUUAAACACACACUUACCAAAUGACCUGGCACUUGGACUCUGGGGCAUUUAUCCCAGAGAAAUGAAAACAUGUGUCCACACAAAAGAUCAUAUGCAAAUGUUCAUGAGAGCUUAAUUUGCAAUAGUCAAAAAAUUGAACAUAACCCAAAUGCCCUUCGGUGGGUGAAUGCUGUUCAGUGGGAGAGAACUUUGGGGCGUCCACACCAGGGAAUACUACUGAGCAAUAAAAAGGAAGGCGCCAUUGAUACAUAGGACGAGUGCUAUGGCUCUCAUGAGAACUAUGCUGGGUUAACGGGGGUGGGGACCAAAUCACAAAAGGUAUUCCACUUAUAUAACACCUCCAAGCUGCCAGAAGUAAAGAGGUGGAAAACACGUAAGUGGCUGCGAGAGGUUAGAGACGAGGGAGUUUAAGAGGGCAGGGGAGGAAGAUGGUGUGGCUGUACAUGGGCAAGUGGGGAAUCCGCCAGUUCUGUAUCCUAACUGUUGUAGUAGUUACGUGAAUCUACACAUGGGAUAAAAUUGCAAAGAAACACACACACACACACACACACACACACACACACACAGAAAUGAGUGCAAUCUGAAUAAAGGUCUGUGGAUUAUACCAAUGUCAAUUUCCUGGUUCUGAUUAUAAUAUAAUAUAACAUAAUAUAAUAUAAUAUAGAAAUUACUUAUAAAUAAUUGAUAUCAAAUUUAUAUUUAUUAUAUUAUCUAACGUAACACAGGUACCUUGCUGUCCUAUUUUUGGAACUUCCUAUGAAUCUCUAAUUAUUUCAAAAUAAAAAGCUUAAAAAAAUCCAA
Molecule: RNA transcript, 3756 nt
Organism: Herpailurus yagouaroundi (jaguarundi)
Lineage: Eukaryota; Metazoa; Chordata; Mammalia; Carnivora; Felidae
Gene: DPCD
Gene name: deleted in primary ciliary dyskinesia homolog (mouse)
Exons: 8
Source: RefSeq, a predicted model, not a curated record